RNAcentral lists this ribosomal RNA (461 nucleotides) under uncultured bacterium. RNAcentral describes it as "partial 16S ribosomal RNA". It matches the Rfam family "Bacterial small subunit ribosomal RNA", at positions 28 to 523 of the family's 1533-position model. The record is from RNAcentral.
GAUGAACGCUGGCGGCGUGCCUAAUACAUGCAAGUCGUGCGGCAGCGAGCCCUUCGGGGUGUCGGCGAGCGGCGGACGGCUGAGUAACACGUAGGAACAUACCCCAAAGUGAGGGAUAACUGCUCGAAAGAGUAGCUAAUACCGCAUGUGGUCUAAGGAUUAAAGCUUCGGCGCUUUGGGAAUGGCCUGCGUUCGAUUAGCUAGAUGGUGAGGUAAAGGCUCACCAUGGCGACGAUCGGUAGCUGGUCUGAGAGGAUGAUCAGCCAGACUGGGACUGAGACACGGCCCAGACUCCUACGGGAGGCAGCAGUAGGGAAUUUUCCACAAUGGGCGAAAACCUGAUGGAGCAACGCCGCGUGCAGGAUGAAUGCCUUAGGGUUGUAAACUGCUUUUAUAUGUGACGAUUAUGACGGUAGCAUAUGAAUAAGGAUCGGCUAACUCCGUGCCAGCAGCCGCCGUAA